CAGUAGCCACGGGAAUACGAAGGGGGCUAGCGUUGUUCGGAUUUACUGGGCGUAAAGCGCACGUAGGCGGACUUUUAAGUCAGGGGUGAAAUCCCGGGGCUCAACCCCGGAACUGCCUUUGAUACUGGAAGUCUUGAGUAUGGUAGAGGUGAGUGGAAUUCCGAGUGUAGAGGUGAAAUUCGUAGAUAUUCGGGGGAACACCAGUGGCGAAGGCGGCUCACUGGACCAUUACUGACGCUGAGGUGCGAAAGCGUGGGGAGCAAACAGGAUUAGAUACCCCCGUAGUCCCUGUCUCUUAUAC
Molecule: ribosomal RNA, 301 nt
Filed under: uncultured bacterium
Lineage: Bacteria
Description: partial 16S ribosomal RNA
Rfam family: Bacterial small subunit ribosomal RNA
Source: RNAcentral